This 16-nucleotide small RNA is filed under the name Arabidopsis thaliana (thale cress). RNAcentral's name for it is "ATSL001540". The record is from RNAcentral. Lineage: Eukaryota; Viridiplantae; Streptophyta; Magnoliopsida; Brassicales; Brassicaceae.
GUUUCAGGGUCUUCUC